CUCAUAUGAAAAUGAACCAGGGUUUUACUAAAUCAUGGCUACUACAAUUAAACCAUGAUAACCAUAAUUUUUUGCUACACUAACCAUAGUUAAACCAUGGUAUUUACAGUAAAACUGUGGUUAUAUAAAUGGUAAUCAAAACGCCAAAAAAAAACAUGGUUAAUUUUCAUAAGGGAAAACUAAGUUCUUGAGUCUAGUAGAGUUUAGUAGAACAUUAGCAUGUUGCUAAGCUAACAAAGACAAAGCAUAAAAUACACAAAUACUCAGUGAAACUGUGCAUUUUAAUCAUACCAUCUAACAUAUUUUCUUGAUAGUUUUUUUAUUGAGAAUGAAGUCGUUGUAAAAUUUUAGUCCACAUUUCUUUAUUUUCGACGGAGCCCUGCACGUAAAAUGCAGGCAUGAUAAUCUUGAACUUGAAUUUAGAAUUUGUUUCCCAUGACUUAUUAUUUUAGUUACUCAUUUUAUUUAACUUGCAGUAAAAGUUUCCCUAUCAUGCUUUAGAAAUCAUCAUGAAUUACAUAUCAGUUGAAAGCUUAAAAUAUCAAAAUUCAUCCUUUGAAAACCAUUUUAAAAUCAGACAUUGCAAUACCAUGGAAAUGAUACAUCAAAAUCAUAAUACAAAAUGUUUUCGUUCAUGAAUUACUGUAGACACAUUUUAGUUUUGAUAGUGCACUUUCACGUCUUUUUAGUUUGGAUAGUGAACUUUUUCAUGUUUAUAAAUGGGAGUGACAGUUAAAGAGUUCAGUCAGAUGAAAUCAGAUGAAAUGUGUAAUGGUUUCCUCCUUUCUUCUGCUCUUCUGCAGUGUGGUGGUGGUGGGGUCUGUGAGCAGCCAGCGGGAGCUGUCCUCAGAUGUUAUGGCAGCGUUUGUGCUCCAGGUGGCGAUAGAGAGUCUGUCCCAGGAGCAGUGCAGGACGAUGCUGUCCAGCCUCAGUGAGGACCUGAUGUUGGAUCCCAUCGGUCAGAUGGCAAAACAUCAGUGGACUGCAGCAGGUUAAGAAGGAGAUUCUGGACAUGAUUCAGCUUCCUCUGGAGCAUCCAGAGCUGCUUUCGCAGGGACUGUGGCGCUCUGGACUGCCGAUUCUAUGGGCCGCCGGGCACCGGAAAAACCCUGCUGGCUAAAGCCGUCGCCACCGAGUGUACCAUGACCUUCCUCAGGUUACUACAUUACUUUAUUUUUAGGGCUGUCAGUUUAACGCAUUGACUUAUUCAAUUAGUUAAGAAAAAAUAAUGCGAUAAAAAUGUUUUAACACAGUUAACGCACUGCCCCCACCCCCAGACCUGAACGUCAUCUUACAUUUCAUACAGUUGACUGUUGACAAAUACGAUGCAGGGCAACAACUCCAUAAAUGCAGUUAUACCCUAAAAUUCAAGAUAUUGGGGCAAAAAUUGGCUUGUAUGAGUUUUUGUCUCAUAAUUAUAUAUAAUAUGAUAAUAGACAUCACAUGGGCAGCGAGAGCAAUAUCACAGCAGGGCUGUUUUUGUCCCGAUCUAUCACGAGUUUAAGUGUGAUUUUAUACAACAGUUCAGUAAAUAAGAAGUUAAUAUUGUGUUAAUUUUAGUGCUAUCAAAUGAUUAAUUGUGAUUAAUCGCAUCCAAAAUAAAAGUUUUUGUUUACAAAACAUACAUGUGUGUGUCCUGUGCAUAUAUAUUAUGUAUAUAUAAAUACAAACACAUGCAUGUAUAUAUUUAAGAAAAAUACGUAUGUUAUGUUUAUUUAUUAAAUAUAUUUAUAUAUAAUAUAAAAUAUAAUAUUAUGAAUAUAUAAAUAUAUAAAUGUAAAUAUUUUCAAAAUAUAUUCUGUAUGGGUGUGUAUUUAUUAUCCUGAAACUUUGGUUUGAGCCAUCUAUCCCAGCUACGUCUACUUGGAUGUCCUAUCUGCUGGACAUUGCUCUGUUGGAGUGUACCACAGCUAAAGUGCAUGGCGCCACCAGAAGGACAGUACAGUUUUGGUUGGACCUUGUUGAGACUUUAUCAGACCUCUUGAAAUCUUGAGAGGUAUUGGUUAUACCUCUAAACAAGGAUUCCCCUCUCUCUCUCUUUUUUUUUUUUCUCUCUUUCUUUUCCUUCUUAUCUCUGUAUCUUAUGAAUGUGGGCGGAUCUUGGGCUUUGUUGUAAAUAGUUAUAAAUCUAAAUUAAGAAAUAAAGAAUCAAAAAAAAAAUAUAUAUAUAUAUAUUCUGUAUGGGUGUGUAUUUAUAUAUACAUAAAUAUACACAGUACACACACAUAUAUAAAGUAAACUAAAACUUCUAUUUUGGAUCACAAUUAAUCAUUAGACAGGACUAGUUAUAUUUCAUGUUCAGUUUUUGCUAAAUUUUGCAUAGAAAAUAUUACCUUUAAAGUCAUAGCAGAAUUGUUGUGGGUUUGUGAUCAACACAGCGGUGAUUAGUUUCUGAAUGAAUCCGUGUUUUAAACAAAUCGUGUGAAUCAGUGAUUCAAUAGCCUGAUGCAUAAAGACAAAUACGGCCACCUGCUGGUAGUUUUAGUUUCUUAUUUAGAGUAUCAUUUCAUUUCAUAAAAAAAAAAAAAAAAAAAUAGUUAUCUCAAAAAUUUUAAUUCUGUCGUCAAUUACGUUCAUGUCAUUUCAAACCUGUAUGACUUUCUUCUUUUGCACAACAUAAACAAAGGUAUAUUUAUGACUUGAUAAUUAAUCUGUCUUGGUUACCAGUGACAUUCAUUGUAUGAACAAAAUACUGAGAUGUUUCUCAAAUUAUCUACUUUUAUGUGCCAUAGUUUGUUAGGCCGUUGUAACCUAAACGAUUAUGUGUAAAACAAUUUAUGUUGAAUCAAAUCAAAUAUUUCUUUCUAAAGCUACUGUUUGUAAUGUCUACUUGAUAGUUUCUCAUUUAAAACAAUAAUAGCUUUACAUAAUCAUUUGUGGGUAUUUUCACAGACAAAUUAAAUUUGUGAUUAAUUAGAUUAAUUCAUCGACACAUCAUGUAAUUAAUAAGAUUAAGAAAUUUUAAUCAACUGACAGCCGUUCUUUAUUUGCUUUGAGUUUGAAAUAUUCAAGAGACUGGUUAGAGUACAAAACUAAAUGAACACAACAUCAUGUACUGAGUGUGUUUGGUGUUUGUUUUCAGCGUGAAGGGCCCUGGACUCAUCAACAUGUACGUUGGUCAGAGUGAAGAGAACAGCUUAGUUACUGACAGUCUUCAAAAUACCUUAUUUUAUGUUGCGCAAAAGAAAGUAAGUCAUUCAGGUUUGAAACGACAUUUUGAAAAAUUUAAAUAAAAUACAAUUUAUAAAAAAAAAAAAAAAAAAUUUGGUGAACUAUCCAUUUAAUGUUAUUUAUUUAUUUUUUAUAGACAAAAUGAAAUGAUGCUCUAAAGAAGAAACUAAAACUGCCAGCAGGUGGCGGCAGCAAAUGUCUUUAUGAGUCAUUCAUUCAUUCAUUCAUUCAUUCAUUCAUUCAUUCCUUUGAAUUGUUCAAACGGCUGAUUCAUUCAGUAAUGAAGUAAAUGGCACUCUUUAUGAAUGGGCUUUAAAUCAUUGGUUCACACAAUUAAUUCAAAAUGAGGAUUCAUUCACAAACUAAACACCGCUAUUGCUCACAGGUGCACAACAGUUUUGCAUUGGCCUUAUAGGUAAUAUUUUCAAUAGCAAAACUGAGCAAAAACACAAUAUUGUGUUUAAAAUAUGUAAGCAAUAAUUGACGACGGGCUGUUGAAUUAUUAGAAAAAUAAUGCACACCCAUGGUGGUGAUGCGGCCACGACGCGAAGCGGAGUGUGCAUUAUUUGUCUAAUAAUUCAACGGCCUGGAGUCAUUAUUUGUCUAAUAAUUCAUCGGCCUGGAGUCACUGUUGUUCUUCAGCAGAACAACAGUGAACUGUGGUCAGAUGAGAUGUUGUCAGGCCAAAUGUCAGUAAAAACGAGUUUUCUUCUCCUGACUGCCAAUAUACUGUGCUCAUAGCCCAUGCUCUUUAACUGCAAGCACAAAUAAGGCAGCGCGCGCUGUAGCCUGUAUCAUUUCAUAUUAACAUGUGAAUGAAAUGACAAGCAUGCGUGUCAGAUCCAUGUCACGUUCAGCAGCAGCAGCUCUUAAAGUAAUAGCAGCCAAAUAACCUAAUAACCCAGCUGCUGUGAUGUCUGUUCAUCAAAGAAGAAAAGAAGAAAGAGGAAAUCGUUAACUUUUGUAGCUUGAGGAUUCAUCUAUAUUUAAUCUAGAAUUUAGUGUUUGAUAACUUUAUUCAAUUGUCAGUCAAAACUCCACCGAACUCCGUGACAUGCAGUUUGAAGACAGACGUCUACUUCUUCGCAAUGCAAGGGUAAAUAAAAACUGAUGUUUGAAUAAGCGUUUGAAGAGUGGAGAAGAUUCUGAGCUUUUGCCAUCUGGUUGUAGCCAAUAGACGUUUUUAUGUUUUAAAUAUCCUGUGCAUAGCAGUUCAUCUUUUAUAUCAUGAGAUUUUGGCCAAAUGUAUUAAACAACAAGAAAAACUGAGCGCCAUAUAGCUGCAAUUCAUUUUAUAACCUGUAAAUUGAUGAAAAGGUAAUGUGAUAAUUUACUGCCUCAGAUUUGACCAUUCUAAUGACACAGAUCUCUGUCACCCGCUUGUCAAAAACCUUGUUAAACUCUAUUUGAGCAUGAUUUUCAGAAAAAUGUUGAGUGCAAGUGUUUGAUCAUAUAUAAAGUCAAAAUACCAACUCUGAUGACACAUUGUUUAAUUAUUGAAAAAAAAAAAAAACUUCCUUUCCUUUAACUUUAUCUUUUUUGUGUGUGCUUACUGGUGUGCUAUUAUAUAUUACUGUUUUUGAUUACAUAAAUUUAAAUCUGAACACAAGACUUCUUUCAAAAACAUUAAAAAAACU
Cyprinus carpio carpio is the source of this 4808-nucleotide long non-coding RNA. The record is from Ensembl. Lineage: Eukaryota; Metazoa; Chordata; Actinopteri; Cypriniformes; Cyprinidae.